RNAcentral lists this ribosomal RNA (253 nucleotides) under uncultured bacterium. RNAcentral's name for it is "partial 16S ribosomal RNA". It matches the Rfam family "Bacterial small subunit ribosomal RNA", at positions 524 to 776 of the family's 1533-position model. The record is from RNAcentral.
UACGAAGGGGGCUAGCGUUGUUCGGAAUUACUGGGCGUAAAGCGCACGUAGGCGGCUUCUUAAGUCAGGGGUGAAAUCCUGGAGCUCAACUCCAGAACUGCCUUUGAUACUGAGGAGCUUGAGUCCGGGAGAGGUGAGUGGAACUGCGAGUGUAGAGGUGAAAUUCGUAGAUAUUCGCAAGAACACCAGUGGCGAAGGCGGCUCACUGGCCCGGUACUGACGCUGAGGUGCGAAAGCGUGGGGAGCAAACAGG